This 482-nucleotide ribosomal RNA is filed under the name uncultured bacterium. Its description in RNAcentral is "partial 16S ribosomal RNA". It matches the Rfam family "Bacterial small subunit ribosomal RNA", at positions 28 to 506 of the family's 1533-position model. The record is from RNAcentral.
GACGAACGCUGGCGGCGUGCUUAACACAUGCAAGUCGAACGCUGAAGCUCAGCUUUUGUUGGGUGGAUGAGUGGCGAACGGGUGAGUAACACGUGAGUAACCUGCCCCCUUCUUUGGGAUAACGCCCGGAAACGGGUGCUAAUACUGGAUAUUCACUGGUCUUCGCAUGGGGGUUGGUGGAAAGGGUUUUUCUGGUGGGGGAUGGGCUCGCGGCCUAUCAGCUUGUUGGUGGGGUGAUGGCCUACCAAGGCUUUGACGGGUAGCCGGCCUGAGAGGGUGACCGGUCACAUUGGGACUGAGAUACGGCCCAGACUCCUACGGGAGGCAGCAGUGGGGAAUAUUGCACAAUGGGCGCAAGCCUGAUGCAGCGACGCCGCGUGAGGGAUGGAGGCCUUCGGGUUGUGAACCUCUUUCGCUCAUGGUCAAGCCACAACAAUGGUUGUGGUGAGGGUAGUGGGUAAAGAAGCGCCGGCUAACUACGU